Molecule: long non-coding RNA, 458 nt
Filed under: Jatropha curcas
Lineage: Eukaryota; Viridiplantae; Streptophyta; Magnoliopsida; Malpighiales; Euphorbiaceae
Description: long non-coding RNA (JCUR_LNC001983)
Source: RNAcentral
GGGACUAUACUAAGGUUAGAAGGUGAUACACCAUUCACUGCAUCAUUUUGAGAAUCAUUUGCUUCACUUGCUACUACAACUCCUGUAGAAAGUCCAGUUUGAGAAUCAGACACUACGCAUGAAGUACGAAUAUCCACCAUUUUGCUUUGUGAUUCUUCAGUUAACAAUUUACUGAUUGAGGAGCUAAGAUCCUUGUUCUCCUUGGGGGAUUUUCCAGAGGACUCUGCAUCAAUUGGAUCAACAGGUAUAUGAUCUGGUUCCUUGUCAUUAACAUUGUAACAAAAUUCAUUCUUAACAGGGUCAGCACAAUCAACAGUCAUAAUUUCAUGUUUCUCAGCUUGUUCAGAUAUGCCUUCUUCCAUAUCAACAUCAGUAUCCUCAGGACCCUGUCCCAUGGUACACCUACUUUCAUCAACAAUAUUGCAAUCUCCAGCACUUGCUGGUGGCAAUCCUACUUC